UACAGAGGUCCCAAGCGUUGUUCGGAUUCAUUGGGCGUAAAGGGUGCGUAGGUGGCGUCGUAAGUCGGGUGUGAAAUCUCGGGGCUUAACUCCGAAACUGCAUUCGAUACUGCGGUGCUUGAGGACUGGAGAGGAGACCGGAAUUUACGGUGUAGCGGUGAAAUGCGCAGAUAUCGGGAGGAACACCGGUGGCGAAGGCGGUUCUCUGGGCCUUACCUGACGCUGAGGAGCGAAAGCGUGGGGAGCGAACAGG
Molecule: ribosomal RNA, 253 nt
Filed under: uncultured bacterium
Lineage: Bacteria
Description: partial 16S ribosomal RNA
Rfam family: Bacterial small subunit ribosomal RNA
Source: RNAcentral